UACGGAUGGUGCGAGCGUUAAUCGGAAUUACUGGGCGUAAAGCGCACGUAGGUGGUUUGUUAAGUCGGAUGUGAAAGCCCAGGGCUCAACCUUGGAAUUGCAUCCGAUACUGGCAGGCUAGAGUACGAGAGAGGGAGGUAGAAUUUCAGGUGUAGCGGUGAAAUGCGUAGAGAUCUGAAGGAAUACCGGUGGCGAAGGCGGCCUCCUGGCUUGAUACUGACACUGAGGUGCGAAAGCGUGGGGAGCAAACAGG
Molecule: ribosomal RNA, 253 nt
Filed under: uncultured bacterium
Lineage: Bacteria
Description: partial 16S ribosomal RNA
Rfam family: Bacterial small subunit ribosomal RNA
Source: RNAcentral